This 262-nucleotide ribosomal RNA is filed under the name uncultured bacterium. RNAcentral's name for it is "partial 16S ribosomal RNA". It matches the Rfam family "Bacterial small subunit ribosomal RNA", at positions 92 to 353 of the family's 1533-position model. The record is from RNAcentral.
CGACCGGCGCACGGGUGAGUAACACGUAUCCAACCUGCCGAUGACUCGGGGAUAGCCUUUCGAAAGAAAGAUUAAUACCCGAUGGCAUAGUUCUUCCGCAUGGUGGAACUAUUGAAGAAUUUCGGUCAUCGAUGGGGAUGCGUUCCAUUAGGUUGUUGGCGGGGUAACGGCCCACCAAGCCUUCGAUGGAUAGGGGUUCUGAGAGGAAGGUCCCCCACAUUGGAACUGAGACACGGUCCAAACUCCUACGGGAGGCAGCAUG